Molecule: long non-coding RNA, 366 nt
Filed under: Phoenix dactylifera (date palm)
Lineage: Eukaryota; Viridiplantae; Streptophyta; Magnoliopsida; Arecales; Arecaceae
Description: long non-coding RNA (PDAC_LNC010839)
Source: RNAcentral
GCUGGAUCCUUGAAUCGCGGAUGCUGGUAUUAAUCCGGAAGGUGAGAUGGGAUAAUGAUGGAACAGGGGAAGUGGAACGGCUGGGAGAUACUUCGGAAGGAGAAGACGUGGCUUUGUUCGUGGACGAGAGCGGAAUGAUCUUGGAUGAAGCUCACGGCUAGGGGAGACUUGAUCCUUUGAUGCGGAUGCUGAGGUUUGCUGGAAGUUGAUCUUGCGAUUGGAUAUUAUGCAUUUGGUUGGGAUCACGUGUGGAAGUUUGGGAUGUUGGGAAGGAAAUGGAAUGAAGAAAAGAGAUCACGGAAUGCUUGAUUCAUGGAGAGGAUGAAUCUGUUCCGAUGGGAAGAACGCGGAGAAGACCUCAGCUGG